AAGGAGGUGCAAGGGUUGGGAGUGCAGGAGCUGUGGGGAAAGGGGGAGGGGGAUCGUCCAGGGGCGAUGGGGAAGUGCUAAAGUACAAGUUUUGCCCAGGGCACCAUUUCCCCUAACACUGAUCCUUGAUAACAUUUCUUGCUGGGAGGGGGAGGGGAGAGAGAUGAGGCGUUUUCUCUCUGUUUCUUUCCUCUCCAUUUUCUGCUCCUUCCUUCAAUUCCAGAAACCUCCCUUGUGUUUCAGACUGUGCAGUGACGCCCUCCCUACCCCAGGCCUCUGUAGCCUUUGGAGCAGAAAGAUCCCAGGAGCUGAGGAGGAAUGCAGGGAUGCAUUCAAAUGGCAGCUGUUUACAGGUCAUGGGCUGCUAGUUCAUGAGCAGGAGCAGAGUCUCUGUAAGUUUACCAACCAUAGAGCUUGUUAUGUCUGCAUCUAAGUAAGUGCAGAGUUAUUUCAAUGGCUCCUACACUGACAUCUCCUGCCCCUUCUGGCUGGUUAAUUGCACUAUUUGGAACCUGCUCCUAAAAUUGCACCCUUUCUGGGAGUGAGUCAAAACUGCCCAAGGAAACCCCAUUGGGUUUCAAGGGCAGCUCAAGCAAGGAGGUGAUGGGACAGCACAGGGGUCUCAGAGCUUCUCUUUCAUAGCAAGCCCAGAGGCUGCUAUUAGCAUGACUGUGGGGUUCUAUUCCUGGCUGUAGGAGGAAAGGGGUGUCUAGUGGAUUAGAGGUGGGGGCCUAGAAGUCAAAGAGAAAACAUCUCCCUUUUCAGCUUCAAUGCUCAUUGAACAAGAACAUGGCUUCUCAGGUUUCAGAAGAGCAGUUGUGUUAGUCUGUUUCCUCAAAAAGAACAGGAGUAGGUGUGGCACCCUAGAGACUAACAAAUUUCUUAGAUUCUGUUGCCAUCAUGUGGCCAUUUCAUUUCACUUCUUAUUGUUAAAAGGUUUGGGUACUUCACACAGAAACGUUAUUUCCUUGGGAAAGACGGAGAAGUGGAAGCUGCAUUGAUUUAAUCCUCUGAAAAUUAAAUAAGGAUUAAAAUAUUCCCCAGACAGCUCAGUCCCAACCGUUCUCCCUCACUGCUGCCAGUGAAGCUCAGUUCUGUCCCACGGCCCCAAGAACUGCUGGGUGAAAGUCCUGGGUCUGAUGUGCAGUAAGAAAAAAAAAA
This is a long non-coding RNA of Gopherus evgoodei (Goodes thornscrub tortoise), 1161 nucleotides long. RefSeq lists it as uncharacterized. The record is from RefSeq and is a predicted model, not a curated record. NCBI's taxonomy places the organism in Eukaryota, Metazoa, Chordata, Testudines, Testudinidae. The transcript has 2 exons.